UAAUACUGGAUAGGCAAUUUUUCCUGUAAUGGUUUUUUGUUUAAAUGUUUUUUCGCCUAAGGAUGGGUCUGCGGCCGAUUAGGUAGUUGGUUAGAUAAUGGCUUACCAAGCCUUUGAUCGGUACGGGUUGUGAGAGCAAGAGCCCGGAGAUGGAACCUGAGACAAGGUUCCAGGCCCUACGGGGUGCAGCAGGCGCGAAACCUCCGCAAUGUGAGAAAUCGCGACGGGGGGAUCCCAAGUGCCAUUCUUAACGGGAUGGCUUUUCAUUAGUGUAAAGAGCUUUUGGAAUAAGAGCUGGGCAAGACCGGUGCCAGCCGCCGCGGUAACACCGGCAGCUCUAGUGGUAGCAAUUUUUAUUGGGCCUAAAGCGUCCGUAGCCGGUUUAAUAAGUCUCUGGUGAAAUCCUGUAGCUUAACUAUGGGAAUUGCUGGAGAUACUAUUAGACUUGAGACCGGGAGAGGUUAGAGGUACUCCCAGGGUAGAGGUGAAAUUCUGUAAUCCUGGGAGGACCGCCUGUUGCGAAGGCGUCUAACUGGAACGGUUCUGACGGUGAGGGACGAAAGUUAGGGGCGCGAACCGGAUUAAAUACCCGGGUAGUCCUAACUGUAAACGAUGCGGACUUGGUGU
Molecule: ribosomal RNA, 627 nt
Filed under: uncultured archaeon
Lineage: Archaea
Description: bacterial SSU rRNA
Rfam family: Archaeal small subunit ribosomal RNA
Source: RNAcentral